This 628-nucleotide ribosomal RNA is filed under the name Lentilactobacillus parabuchneri. RNAcentral describes it as "bacterial SSU rRNA". It matches the Rfam family "Bacterial small subunit ribosomal RNA", at positions 56 to 641 of the family's 1533-position model. The record is from RNAcentral. Lineage: Bacteria; Bacillati; Bacillota; Bacilli; Lactobacillales; Lactobacillaceae.
UGCAGUCGAACGCGUCUUGGUUAUUGAUGUUAAGUGCUUGCAUUUAACUGAUUUAACAUUGAGACGAGUGGCGAACUGGUGAGUAACACGUGGGUAACCUGCCCUUGAAGUAGGGGAUAACACUUGGAAACAGGUGCUAAUACCGUAUAACAACCAAAACCACCUGGUUUUGGUUUAAAAGAUGGCUUCGGCUAUCACUUUAGGAUGGACCCGCGGCGUAUUAGCUUGUUGGUAAGGUAACGGCCUACCAAGGCAAUGAUACGUAGCCGACCUGAGAGGGUAAUCGGCCACAUUGGGACUGAGACACGGCCCAAACUCCUACGGGAGGCAGCAGUAGGGAAUCUUCCACAAUGGACGAAAGUCUGAUGGAGCAACGCCGCGUGAGUGAUGAAGGGUUUCGGCUCGUAAAACUCUGUUGUUGGAGAAGAACAGGUGUGAGAGUAACUGUUCACAUCUUGACGGUAUCCAACCAGAAAGCCACGGCUAACUACGUGCCAGCAGCCGCGGUAAUACGUAGGUGGCAAGCGUUGUCCGGAUUUAUUGGGCGUAAAGCGAGCGCAGGCGGUUUCUUAGGUCUGAUGUGAAAGCCUUCGGCUUAACCGGAGAAGUGCAUCGGAAACCAGGAGAC